Molecule: ribosomal RNA, 440 nt
Filed under: uncultured bacterium
Lineage: Bacteria
Description: partial 16S ribosomal RNA
Rfam family: Bacterial small subunit ribosomal RNA
Source: RNAcentral
CCUACGGGUGGCAGCAGUGGGGAAUAUUGCACAAUGGGGGAAACCCUGAUGCAGCGACGCCGCGUGAGUGAAGACGUAUCUCGGUAUGUAAAGCCCUAUCAGCAGGGAAGAAAAUGACGGUACCUGUUUAAGAAGCCCCGGCUAACUACGUGCCAGCAGCCGCGGUAAUACGUAGGGGGCAAGCGUUAUCCGGAUUUACUGGGUGUAAAGGGAGCGUAGACGGCAGCACAAGUCUGGAGUGAAAUGCCGUGGCUUAACCCCGGAACUGCUUUGGAAACUGUGCAGCUAGAGUGCAGGAGAGGUAAGUGGAAUUCGUAGUGUAGCGGUGAAAUGCGUAGAUAUUAGGAAGAACACCAGUGGCGAAGGCAGCUUACUGGACUGUAACUGACGUUGAGGCUCGAAAGCGUGGGGAGCGAACAGGAUUAGAUACCCGGGUAGUC